Molecule: non-coding RNA, 6303 nt
Organism: Python bivittatus (Burmese python)
Lineage: Eukaryota; Metazoa; Chordata; Lepidosauria; Squamata; Pythonidae
Source: RefSeq, a predicted model, not a curated record
CUUAUUUAAAGAACAGAAUUCUGAGUAUUCACUAUCAAAGUCAGAUCUUCACAACAUAGGUAUGUGGAAGUGUGCAUGGCUCAAACAAAGAGAUUUGUGAGGACUUCCGAAAAACAGUGAUUGAUACUCACCAGGCUGAAAAAGGUUAGAAAACUAUUUCCAAAGAAUUUUGGAAUCCAAUCAUAUUUACGCAGAAGGACAGAAAAUUCAAAAAGCUUUACAAACUUUUAAGCAUACCACCAAAAGGAUAUCAGGAAUUAGCUUCUUAGCAGUCUCCAUGGCUUUACAAGUCUCAACUCACAAGUUGCUAUUCUAAAAUGCAAAUAUGUAUGCAAGCGCAGGCUAAUUUUAACUAAGGUGGUAUCUGAUUAGCAUUUAGAAACAUUGGGAUGCAUAAAUAAUGCUGUUAGAAAUCUUCAUGCUAUUAUGUCACCUAUGUUUCUUAACCUGGAAAAAACUUGUCUAUACUAUAUAUCUAGGUUUACUAUUGUUAGACCAAAAAAAAGAAAGGAAUAACUGUUUUUGUAGAAAGCAAUCUCUCAAAUAAAGAUUGGCUUGUAUCAUUCACUUUUGAUGCCACACAAAACAUUAAAGUCAGUGCACUUGUAAAAGGGAAUGCACUUUGAUUUAUAGUUUUUUAUUUGCAGUAUCAGUUAUACAUAUUCAGGGAUCUUUUAAAAUGUAUCUCUUUAGCCUUCUCUAUUUACUACACGUCAGUGUGAUUUGAAGCCAUUGCAGCACAUUUCAGAUUCAUACGAACUCAUGAAGGGAAGUAUUGCUAAAAGUAAAGUUCUGUUGCUUUGAAGACAUGCAUUUUUCCUGUUCAAUAUAUCCUACUGCAAAAAUGUUUAGGAGGAUACAAGUGCUGUGAAUCACUCAGCCAUAAGAAUUACUGAUAUUAGAUAGAUCACCCCAAAAAUAGCAGUUAUCUAAGAAAGCCUGUAGAAGUUUAUGUUGGCAGAUCUCAAAAUACAAGAAUAACUCUUGGUGGAAGAUGAAAUUGAGAAUACACCUAAGUAGCUGACAGAAUACCUCCAGGAAAUGUCAGAAGUAUUCUGGACACUUGUUAUAUUUGUGGCAGAACUUUUAAAUAAGCAAGGAACAUAGCAAAAUAUAACCUAUGUGAAAUAGAAACCAUUUUCAUGCCAAAUAAAGGAAAGUAACCUAAAACGUAAACAUACUCAUGAUCUUGUUCAUACACCUGGGCAUUUAUUGAGAGAGAGAAGAGUGAGACGCACAUAAAUGCCAGGUAGGAGAAAUUAUACAUAAUUCAUUCAGUUAUUUCCUCAGUGCAAGCUGCUAAGAUAUAUCCUACAAGUCAUAAAUAUGCUGAAUUGCAGGUUAAUUCAAUAGAUAGCCCAAAUCAACUAUCCUAAAUAGUGGGGUAUGAUCAUUAUCACAUAAUAAAUGGUGAUGCGAUUCAGUCAGUUACACCCACCCCACUUCCCAUAUAGUAGCUUUACUCACUAGCAUUCAAAUAGAGGGCUGAUGCAGUGUUGGAACAUUUUGCUUACGUGUACUAAAAAUUAUCUGUUAGUUUAUGUUUUCCCUCUACAUUAUGUUUUGAAAGCAACCAUUUUUCUUAAUAAGUCCAGGAUGUGCUAUGCAAUUAUAUAAAAUAAAUCAUGACCUAAACCUUUUCACCAUUUAUUGUAUAAGUGUAUAUCUGCUCAGAAUUGACCAUCAAGCAUAAUUUUAUACAUGCCAAGCUAGAAGAAAAACUUUUUUUUUCUUCCAAGGCAGAGUGUGUUAUGAUUUGGAAAAUAUGUGUUCCAAUGCUGAUGUUCAAACUGACAUUGUAUUCUGCAACUUAUCAUUUCAAAAUAUUGCCUCACCCAAGAGUGCAAUCCUGUAAAUACUUACUUGGUAGUAUAUUUCAUUGAACUCUGAAAUUUCCUUCCAAGUCAAAAUACAUGGAUGUAUUAUACAAACAACAGAAUUUCAUAUUAAAUAAGAUUAUUUUAGAAAUUGUACCAGACAUAUGUGUGGUAGUAUUUUAUUGCUUAUUAAAACAAAACCAUGUAUUUGAUUAUAUUUAAAUAUAUAUUGUACGUUUAUAUCCUUUCUGUAAUAUGUGAUUUCAAAGGAACAAGAUAUUUUAUUUGCAGUUUUAAAUCCACUAUGUUAGUUCUAAAAAGCAAAAUGUGGUAUUUAGGAGUAUAGAAAUAUGUAUACAUAUAUGAAAAAUUGAAUAAUUUAAGAAGCAAUUGUCCAUUUUUUCUACUUCCUGAUUUAAAACAGGUCUGGAAUCAUUGUCAUUUAUUGUCAAAUUAUGCACUUUGGAAUAUCAUUAAGAAAGAAUAAUCCACUUUUAAAUAAUCCAUCUGGAUUAGCUCUCAGUAUUUAUACUUGCUUCUCAAAAGCUAUUCUUUAUGCUUAUUUAUUAUUAUAAACACAAACAACACAUUUACAAGCCAAGUUUUCACAGUUCAUCUCUGCACUUUCAUUAUUUUAUGUGAAGAUCAAAAAGGAUUAUGUCAGCAUUUAAAAUAACAUCAAGGCAAUAUGUUCAGGCAAGCACCAGGAGGCAGAGUUGUAAGAGAAACAAUUAUGAAAGCAAUAUGUUGCACCAUUGCUAUCUACUUCACCUUUGCAAUACCUCAUCACAGUUCCUGCUGUCCCAUUAUUAGACUCUGGGAAAUAUAAUGAGACUGACAGUCAUGAAAAACAUUUCAGCUGUAAGUUUUGUAUACCAUGUAAAUUCAGCCAGUUAUUUCAUACAAACAAUUUUCAUCCUAAUCCAGGUAAACCUCUAUAGUGAAUUGAGUCGUUUUAUCAGUGUAAUUUUUCUCUGUAUUUCUGUCAUUCCAUCAGGUUAACAUCUUGAAAAUCCUAAUAGCUUGAUCUUCUAAAGUUCUAAAUGACAUUCCAAGAGAGAAACAAGACCACUUCUUUAAAUGGUUAUCUCUACCAUGUCCUGGUUGUUGUGGUCCUCAUAUAUUAGUUCUGGAUGUCUGAAGAGUUGCAUGGACUCACUGUUUUUAUGACUUUAAUAUACUUGAAGAAAUUGGAAACUUAUGUUAUUUUUGCUGUUCUUUCUCCAAUUUACAACCAAGCACCUAAAAUCUGAGUGACAAGUGAAGAAAACAACUUCAACUGAUUACUACAAUUGUGUCAUUUGUUUCAGCUUAAAAUGGAUUGUAAUUAGGUUUAAUUGGACCUGUUGUGCAGGAAAGGCUGUUGAUUAUUGUUAUAAAUAUAUAUAUAAUUUCUGGACUCAGUGAGUUUAAGAUUUUUGCAAGCUAUAUAAUGGCUAUGUCAGUAUCAAUGAAAAUUUGUAUUAAUUACAGGAAAGAGGUAAAUAUGUGCUUAUAUACAGAGUUACAUAAAACAAUUCUCUCUGGAGAUUUUUCAUAAGAGAAGCUGUUUGUGUUUUUGUUUUUUUUAAAUGAAAGCUUUGAACUGCCACCAGCAAAGUACUGUAGUAAAAAAGUACUAUAUUAUAAUCUUUCAGUUACUAUAUUUACAUUAUUGGUGUUUUCCCCUCUCUCUGUCCAUGUGAAGUCAUUAUGAUAACUGUCCCCAAUUCUGGUUUUUCAGAGAGUUAAAUUCUGGCAUGGCUUUAGAAAUGAAACAGGAAGAAAAUAUGUCUACUUAGCUUUCUAGCCAUAAAUUUAGUUCUGAACUAGGCCUGAGUUUGCAGGUCAAAGAGUGGAAAUUGGUUAAUUCCAGCUAGGUUACUAAUAAGGGACAAUUAAAAGAAGGGUAUUAAGUCAUAAAAUUGUUCAGCCUGCAGAUGAAAGAGAUAACUUUUUUAGUGCAUGUUAUCUGUCUUGUCAUGGAAAUGUAAGAAUGAUGUAAAUGGUUAUUUCACUUCCAUUUUCAGGGGGCACGCUUUUAGACAUAUCUAUUUAGUCUAUUUAGUCUGGUUAAAUCAGGUUUCUAAAGUGCCAGACAAAUUGAUUCUGCUACAUAAAAUCUCACUUAUUAAUGAAUGCAAUAUGCAGAGAUAUCCCAGGCAAGGUUUUCUUUAGAUGGCUGACUUUGAAGCUUAUUUUUGAAUUACUUCUCUCUUGAAAUAGAUUCAUUGUUGAAAAUGUAAUCCCAUAUGGAAUAUAUUAGAAAACAAGAUAAAUUCUAGAUUUAUGUUUAUAAAAUAAUUUAUUCUGAAGUUAUAUGUACUGUUGGUCAAACUAUUUUCUCUGGCUACCAUAAUCAAAUUGCAAGAUGCCACUGUAUGUAUUUUAUUAUGCAUACAUUAUGGUAAUCCAGUGCUGCAAAUGUAUUAGGGUUAUAAUUCCAGAAUUCCCAGCCAGUGUGACUCAAGAAGGCACCAGUCUGUUAAAGACUACACUAUGAUCAGAGAAUCUCAUAGCCUUAUAUGCUAUGCAAGUAUAAAUUACUAUUAUCACUUUAUGGUAAUUUCACCUAAUUAGUUGUCUAAAAUUUCACAGCCCUUAAAAUGUUGUGCGAGUUAAAGCUGUAUGGAUAGCAAUGCAGCACAGACUAGGGGACAGAAGGGAGCAUGGUAAAGCACCUAUUAGAAGUGGUAAGAGACUUGUACUAAUAGCCCAGAGAUUAUUGGGACAGAUUUAACACAGAGAGACAGAGAGGAUGGGAAUUCUCCUCUCCCUUUAUCCAAGUCAUAGAUUUGCAGAUGUCUUCCUAUGAUGCAACCUGACACCUUCAGCUCCAACAGUUUGUUAACACAGUUAUUGAGGAAAUUUUGAACAAGGGAAACAUUUGUUUUAGGUCUCUGCUCUUAUCCUCUAUUCUCAUGUGAUAAAGAAGGAAGGCUGGUCUAUCUGGGGCUGUCUGCAGAAAAUAUACAGAUGUUUAGUAGCAACAACCUUCACUAUACAAAGUGCUAGUGUUCUGAAACAUAGAAUAGCCUUUAAUGAAAUCCAGAUCCCACUAGUCUUUCUACAAUUUAGCUAAAUUAAAAUGCCCUGCAGUUGCCUCUAAACAGAAACAAAGGAAUAUGAUGUGAAAGGUGAGACGAAUUGGGUCCUCUUUAGCCCUCUAGGAAUUUGAGCACUAGAUAGCAACACAGUAACAAUGGCCCUGUCAUGAGUGGGGAGAUAAGAUCCACUGAGGAGAACUCCUUUCUGUUUUAUCUGUUUUGCAGCUGUGCUGAUGGACUUCUGAAGUAUGCUGAGUGUGUCAAGACUGCACUGUCCCAGCCAUCUGCCUUUGUGAUCCUAAUGCUCUAUUAUUCUACUAGCAAUGAUUCAGAACAUCAUUUCAAAGAAUAAGUUAACCUGUCCUGAGAUAUCUUCCAUACACACACACACACACAUACAUACAUACAAAUAUACAUACAUGCAUACGUAUACACACACACACACUAGAACUCCCCUCAUUCUCAGAUCAGGUUGGGGGAGGCAGGUCUAAAUUAAUGCCACCGAAAGCAAGAUAUCUGAAGUCCUUGGACCAACAAGUGUAAGUGUCUAAGAAAAGCCACAAUUAUGUGACGUUUGUCAUGUCAUCAUGCCUGCAUCAUAAUAAUUACUUGUAUCAUGUGAUGGGACUUGAUGCAAAUAGCAUAAUUCAGGACAUUUGUGCAAUGAAAACAAUGCACACACUUGCCUCCUACCACAGACAACCAUAUAAACUUGCAUUAUUGCAGUCUGUUCAAUGUUUGUAUUAUAAGUCAGGUUGUGAACUUCUGUCUUAAAAUUGCUGGAUAACACUAACGUAUAUUUCAUUUGUGAUGAAACACAAAGCAUACAUCACAGUGAUUGCAUCACAAACAUGCAAUCCUUGACUCUUGCAUAACUUAUAUAUCUCAAAACACAGAAGACUUCUUGCCAGUCAGUCCUGACAAUAGAGGGCUAGUUGGAUCACUUCUGCAUUUGAUCACUUCUGGAUUUGGUCUACCAUGUGCACACCAGCUGAAGUCUAAGCUGCUUCCAAAAGUUUAGACGGUCUAAACCAUAAUUUUAGCAAAAUGGACAGCACUGCUGUCUGUCAAAUGCUUGGCUAAUAUUGACUGAGAGUCAUAAGUCAGGCUUGGAGAACGAUUCAAAGAAAAAUCAGGGAAAAGUCUUGUGAAUAAAAUAAUAAAUGGGGUGUCUGAUCAUGCCUGAGGUUUGAUAUUCCUGACAGGAUAGAUAUGGAUGUUGCCACCUCAACAGGCUGGUUUGUGUUUAUCACUGAAAGAAAUGCAGUUUCAGCAUACGUGCAAGAGGUGAAUGAAAAAUAAGAAUGGAUAGGAUUCUGAUUUUGUUAUAUCUAAAACAGACUCACUGAACUCAGUUGGAGUUAAAUUAUUUGCAUCUAACUCCCACUGAAAUGCAAGGAAUUAAAACUAGGAAUUUGGAAAACAAUUUGUUCCAAAAAUAAGUGGGAAAAAAGUUUGGG